Panicum virgatum (switchgrass) is the source of this 1672-nucleotide RNA transcript. RefSeq lists it as uncharacterized. NCBI's taxonomy places the organism in Eukaryota, Viridiplantae, Streptophyta, Magnoliopsida, Poales, Poaceae. The record is from RefSeq and is a predicted model, not a curated record. The transcript has 5 exons.
AACGUUCCGAUUCGGAGAACAAUUUAGUGUAAAAAUCCUUCAUAAGUGUUAUUCCUCGUUCCGAGAAUGUUCCGGUUCUGGGAACAGGAACUUCUGGGAACAGGAACGAGAACAUGGCUACUAAGGUCUGCAGGCAGCAGCUCUCCAUCUAUGGAGAUAGAUCGGCGAGGUGGGGGGAGGGAAGAAGAGGCGGCGAGAGUUUCUGUCGCGCGAGAAACGUCGGGAGGCGGCGCGGCAGAGGAAAUGACGGGCGAAUCGAUCGACAAGGGCAAGAUCGAUCGGCAGAUGAAAGGGCAAUACGGGAUAAACUGGUGACUUGGCUCAGUCCCGCGACACUGACGCUCCACCAGAUAACAUGGGAUGAUCCUGCCUCCUUGCUACAGAAAGAUUGUGGCAUAUGAAGCAUGCGGCCGACUCCCUGUUGUUUUGAUUUGUUACUUUUGUCCAACGGAUGCUUUUGUCUCCAUUUAUUUAGGCAGUGCAUCCAGUCAGAAAUCUGAUAGACUUGAACAGAAGAUUGAGUGUAGGUCGCCGGUGCUUUGGCUACUUCCAUCCAGCCAUACCAGGUCAGAUUGACUGUUGCUUGCUAAUUGUGGCUUUCUGCACUUCUAGAGUAUUACUGCUUACUGUUGAUGCUGCAGCCUGGCCAGUUGUUGGAGGGCAGGAACCAACCGAUUCAUUGCAUUGGUCCUGCUCUUAGUCUUCGUCUGCUCAGUUGAUGACAAUGGGCGUGUCCUGCAGGCCUUUACAUGCUCCUGUUGUUGCUAUCUCUCUUACUGAUCGAUUUUGUGGUUCAGGUUUUAGAGCCUUAGCUGUCUUAAUAGGAUAUACCUAGCCUACUAAUUUUCUUAUGGUGUGCAAAUAGUGACGCUCCAACCAUACGUCUGAAAUGAUUGCAUAUACGGGCAGAGAAAUCUCCAGAAAAUGUUAUUUUUUCUCUGUUUUAUCCUCCUAUGCAAAUAAAAUACGAGAAGAAUUCUACUGUUACUACUUGCAGUGGCUACCCACUAGCAACAGCAGGCUUGUUUUGCCUUAUAGUGUGCUUGAUUUUGGCAUGCAACAUCUUCCUUAAAGUACUGUAAUUCUUUAUAUAUAUUAUACUUUUGGGGGGGAAAUAGGUUGUUUGAUCAGAUUGAGUUUAGAGAUUUGUUCAAGGAAAAAUGAUACUUGCCAUGAGGAAAUCCAUCAGCAUUAAAGAGGUCCGUUUUCAUGAGGCUUCAAAGGUUGCUUGGUUCACUGACUGUGUUUGGUUUGGCGUGGUACAGCCAGCAGAGGCCGUCUGAUGAUCUCGUGAAGUUUGCACAUAGCAUGGACUUGAAGUUCCGACGUGUCUAUUGGGAUAUGUCAAGGCAAUUUAUAUAUUCACUUGUUUGUCUAUUGAGGUUUGCAUGUCUUUGUCAGUAUAAAAAAUGAAUCCUGAAUCAAUGUAAUCAUCCCUGAAAAAACAAAUGCGUGAAUCUAUCACACUCGGUUCCAUCACUGCAGCAGCCGGCAGGUCAAGCUAAAUGCGCGGGCCAGCGCACCCUCACUGUCAUUUCCCUACGGCAGAGAAAUUGGGCAUUCGCUUGACCCCAGAUUGUGGAGCUGAUAACACCCUCAAUGCCCUGAAAGUUGCUGUUGCGUCCUCUAUAGGAAGUGGACCCGCUGGAAAGUCUUAGUGAUUGGGUGAGAU